This is a long non-coding RNA of Papaver somniferum (opium poppy), 762 nucleotides long. RefSeq lists it as uncharacterized. The record is from RefSeq and is a predicted model, not a curated record. The transcript is spliced from 4 exons. NCBI's taxonomy places the organism in Eukaryota, Viridiplantae, Streptophyta, Magnoliopsida, Ranunculales, Papaveraceae.
UUUUUCUCUCGGUCUCCUUUCAAAGCCCCUCUUUUUAUAAACAAGAACAACUACGAAAUCUGCUUUUAUUUCAACCGAAAAUCAAGACCGUUUCUACUAAAACCUGGUAUCCUAAUCAAAACCCAUCUAUCAGAAACCUAAAUCUACGUUAUGAGAACUUGAACUUUUUUAGCAACCCUAGAAUAUCUUGUUCCUGAAAUCCAAAAAACCCCUCAAUCUAAUAGUCGAAUAUGCUUCUAUUGACCAAAAAUUGAUUGAUUCUUACCUAAUUUAUCAUCAGGGUUAUGUCAUUUACCGUGUACGUGUAAGACGUGGUGGUUGCAAGAGGCCAGUUCCAAAGGGUAUUGUCUACGGGAAUCCAAAGAACCAAGGUAUUACCCAACUAGAAUUCCGGAGGAACAAGAGGUCAGUUGCUGAGGAACGCGUUGGACGUAAAUUGGGUGGUCCAAAGUUCUUAACUCUUACUGGAUUAAUGAGGGAAGCACAGUUUCUUGAGAAGUCUAUUUGCUUGGGUUUUCACUAUCUGUGAUUGUGUUUGUUGGCCAUAUUUUGAGACAUGGAACGCGGGGGUUCUAGGUCCAGUCAUCUUGAGUGAUCUCAAUGAGGGAAGAAGAGAUUUAUCGUGGCAAAAAUGGUUGUACAAGAUUGGGUUAGAAGGCGAAGCUUUGGCUCUUCAUUCCCCGGGUGGGAGUUCCACACUUUUGAAUGGGUAGAAGCAUCUUUAGCAGCUCAGAAACAACAUUUAACAUGGAACAAGGUUAG